Molecule: long non-coding RNA, 194 nt
Organism: Mangifera indica (mango)
Lineage: Eukaryota; Viridiplantae; Streptophyta; Magnoliopsida; Sapindales; Anacardiaceae
Exons: 3
Source: RefSeq, a predicted model, not a curated record
AGGGAAAGGAAGAGAAAAGGGAUUUAUAGAAAAAGGGAAUAGGGUGAAGAAGAAGGGAGAUUAGCAAGAGAUUUCAACUCUGAUUUAGAGGCUACCCAAAUCAGACAUCCUCCAGAUCGUGUUGGAUAGUGUUUCGUUGGGUUGUGCCACGGUGUAGCAUAUUUAGUGUUGGAUAUAGACUUUUUGUUGUUUUU